UUUAAUAGGGCGACUAGUCGCUAGGAGUAGACCCGAAACCGGCGCGAUCUAUCCAUGGCCAGGUUGAAGAUUAGGUAGUACUAAUUGGAGGACCGAACCCAAUACUGUUGCAAAAGUAUGGGAUGAGCUGUGGAUCGGAGUGAAAGGCUAAUCAAGCACGGAGAUAGCUGGUUCUCCCCGAAAACUAUUUAGGUAGUGCCUCGUGUAUAACUCAUUGGGGUAAAGCACUGUUUCGACAAUGGGGGUUUUACGACCUUACUGACUCGAUGCAAACUCAGAAUACGAUGAAGUUCGAUCACGGGAGACACACUGCGGGUGCUAAGGUCCGCAGUGGAAAGGGAAACAGCCCAGACCGCCAACUAAGGUCCCAAAGUCAUAGCUAAGUGGGAAACGAAGUGGGAAGGCCCAGACAGCCAGGAGGUUGGCUUAGAAGCAGCCACCCUUUAAAGAAAGCGUAAUAGCUCACUGGUCGAGUCGGCCUGCACGUAAGAUUUAACGGGGCUAAGCUAUGCACUGAAGUUGCGGAAUAUAUUUAGUAUAUUGGUAGGGGAGCGUUCUGUAAGCCGAUGAAGGUGAAUUGAGAAGUUUGCUGGAGGUAUCAGAAGUGCGAAUGCUGACAUGAGUAACGUAAAAUAAGUGAGAUUCUUAUUGGCCGAAAACCCAAGGGUUCCUACGCAAUGUUAAUCAACGUAGGGUAAGCCGGCCCCUAAGGCGUAGCUGAAGAGUGAAGUCGAUGGGAAACAGGUUAAUAUUCCUGUGCUGCUUAUAUGAACGAAGGAGGGACGGAGAAGGUUAGGUAGGCCUGGCGAAUGGUUGUCCAGGUGAAAGUAUGUAGGUAGGAAUGCUAGGCAAAUCCGGUGUUCUGUUGAUCUGAGAUACGAGACGAAGUUAAACUUGUUUGACGAAGCUAUUGAUACCAUGCUUCCAGGAAAAGCUUCUAAGUAUAUUGUAUAAGUGACCGUACUGUAAACCGACACUGGUGGGUAGGUAGAGAAUACUAAGGCUAUGAGAUAACUCUGGUGAAGGAACUAGGCAAAAUGACACCGUAACUUUGGAAGAAGGUGUGCCCUUGAUGGUGAUGAGACUUGCUCUUUGAGCUGUUGGGGGUUGCAGAUACCAGGUGGCUGCGACUGUUUAUCAAAAACACAGCACUCUGCGAAAUCGUAAGAUGAAGUAUAGGGUGUGACGCCUGCCCGGUGCUGGAAGGUUAAUUGAAGGGGUUAGCGCAAGCGAAGCUCUGGAUCGAAGCCCCAGUAAACGGCGGCCGUAACUAUAACGGUCCUAAGGUAGCGAAAUUCCUUGUCGGGUAAGUUCCGACCUGCACGAAUGGCGUAACGAUGGCCACACUGUCUCCACCAGAGACUCAGUGAAAUUGAAAUCGCUGUGAAGAUGCAGUGUACCCGCGGUUAGACGGAAAGACCCCGUGAACCUUUACUAUAGCUUUGCACUGGACUUUGAAUAUUUAUGUGUAGGAUAGGUGGGAGACCAUGAAGCAGCUACGCCAGUAGUUGUGGAGUCGUCCUUGAAAUACCACCCUUGAAUAUUUGAAGUUCUAACUCAGGAGAGAUUCGAGGACAGUGUAUGGUGGGUAGUUUGACUGGGGCGGUCUCCUCCUAAAGAGUAACGGAGGAGUACGAAGGUGCACUCGGUACGGUCGGAAAUCGUGCCAAGAGUAUAAAGGCAAAAGUGCGCUUGACUGCGAGAGUGACGGCUCGAGCAGGUACGAAAGUAGGUCUUAGUGAUCCGGUGGUCCCGAAUGGAAGGGUCAUCGCUCAACGGAUAAAAGGUACUCCGGGGAUAACAGGCUAAUUCCUCCCAAGAGUUCAUAUCGACGGAGGAGUUUGGCACCUCGAUGUCGGCU
This 1861-nucleotide ribosomal RNA is filed under the name Francisella tularensis. Its description in RNAcentral is "partial 23S ribosomal RNA". It matches the Rfam family "Bacterial large subunit ribosomal RNA", at positions 683 to 2537 of the family's 2925-position model. The record is from RNAcentral. Lineage: Bacteria; Pseudomonadati; Pseudomonadota; Gammaproteobacteria; Thiotrichales; Francisellaceae.